GAUGAAGAACGUAGCGAAAUGCGUUAAGUAAUGUGAAUUGCAGAAUUCAGUGAAUCAUCGAAUCUUUGAACGCACCUUGCGCUCCUUGGCAUUCCGAGGAGCAUGCCUGUUUGAGUGUCAUUAAAUUCUCAAGACCUGUCUGCUUUUUUGAUAGGUAUUGGAUUUUGGGGGUUGCAGGCUGUCUCAAAUAAAUAGCCUUGCUCUCCUUGAAUGUAUUAGUGGAGAAAAGCCAUUGAACUCCAUUGGUGUGAUAAAACCUAUCAAUGCCAGGAGCAAUAUCACUACUUCUCUCUGCUGUCUAACUGUGACUGUCUGUAUUAAUUAGUAUGGAUGGGGACAACUUGACCAACUUGACCUCAAAUCAGGUAGGACUACCCGCUGAACUUAAGCAUAUCAAUAAGCGGAGGA
This 408-nucleotide unclassified non-coding RNA is filed under the name soil metagenome. RNAcentral's name for it is "partial contains 5.8S ribosomal RNA, internal transcribed spacer 2, and large subunit ribosomal RNA". The stretch from base 1 to 120 matches the Rfam family "5.8S ribosomal RNA", at positions 35 to 154 of the family's 154-position model. The record is from RNAcentral.